UACAGAGGUCCCAAGCGUUGUUCGGAUUCACUGGGCGUAAAGGGUGCGUAGGCGGUCGGAUAAGUCUGAUGUGAAAUCUUCGAGCUCAACUCGGAAACUGCAUCGGAAACUAUUCGGCUAGAGGAUUGGAGGGGAGACUGGAAUUCUCGGUGUAGCAGUGAAAUGCGUAGAUAUCGAGAGGAACACCAGUGGCGAAGGCGAGUCUCUGGACAAUUCCUGACGCUGAGGCACGAAAGCUAGGGGAGCAAACGGG
This 253-nucleotide ribosomal RNA is filed under the name uncultured bacterium. Its description in RNAcentral is "partial 16S ribosomal RNA". It matches the Rfam family "Bacterial small subunit ribosomal RNA", at positions 524 to 776 of the family's 1533-position model. The record is from RNAcentral.